UACAGAGGGUGCGAGCGUUAAUCGGAAUUACUGGGCGUAAAGGGUGUGUAGGUGGUCUUGUAAGUUAGAUGUGAAAUCCCCGGGCUCAACCUGGGAACUGCGUUUAAGACUGCAAAACUAGAGUACUGUAGAGGAUAGUGGAAUUUCCAGUGUAGCGGUGAAAUGCGUAGAUAUUGGAAGGAACACCAGUGGCGAAGGCGACUAUCUGGACAGAUACUGACACUGAGACACGAAAGCGUGGGGAGCAAACAGG
RNAcentral lists this ribosomal RNA (253 nucleotides) under uncultured bacterium. RNAcentral describes it as "partial 16S ribosomal RNA". It matches the Rfam family "Bacterial small subunit ribosomal RNA", at positions 524 to 776 of the family's 1533-position model. The record is from RNAcentral.